CCUAAGCUAGACCCCAUCUCAUUCUCGUCUCUCUGAACUUAGAGACCAAAUGAUCCGUUCCCCCAUAGCCAACCCCUAGCGCUUUCUCACCCCUUCACCAGAAACCCGGCGGCAACGCUGCCACCGGCAACCAAAUCAACACCACAGAACCCCCAUCACACCCUGAACCCAAAUCCACAAGCCUCUUGGUUCGAAUCGUGCUACAUCUUCUCGAAUCUUCAAUUGAAGAAUCGAUCCAAGAUUCAACCUACGCCAAUCCACCCAAAUCGAUGCCUAACACUCCCCGGACUUCCCUCGUAACCAAACCAACCCUGGUUUGGUUCGAAUCUGGCUAGAAACGCUCUAAUCCCAAAUCAAACCUCAAGAACCCUAAAAAAUCCAAACCUGGAAACUGUUCAAAUUAGUGAAGGUUUGGGUGUUCAAUGGACCUUAGAAGUGUUCUCAGUUGAGAACACUUGAUUAAGGUCCGUUCGACCUUAAAAGAUUCGAGUCCGAGUUCAAUUCGAGUCUGUCUCUUUCGUAGUUUAUCCGAGGUAACUUUUCCUUUACUUUGUUUGUUUGUGUUCUAUUAAUGCAUGUGUAUAUUUUUUUAUUUUCUUAUUGUAAUUUUAUCAAUUUUUUUUCUUUUUCUAUCCACCUUCCAUCAAACCUUUUAUUUUGUCGAAUUUAUUUCUUUUUAGUGUUACGAAUAUAUUAUAGACCGCAUGAUUAAUUGAAUAAGGUCAUAGAUUAGUUAUGUUUCAUUAUCAUUCCCUAAUUUUGUCAAAUGCCACUGAAAUUACUUGUAUGCCUGUUUGCAUAUUUGAUUAUGUUUGGUUGUUACCAAUUAUGUAUAAUUGAUCCGAUAAGUAUCGUCGAUUAAUUUUUUUAAAAGUUGAAAGAAAAAAAAUGAUAAUAUUCUAUUUAUUUUUUCAAGUUCUAUAGUAUUUUCAUUUCCAUUACAAGAGUUGUAAUUUGGAGGAGCCUGUCAUUACCUGAAUUGAAAACCGAGCUAAUUGAUUAUUUUGUUUCAGUAAUUGAUGGUUUCUAUAUUUGAAUGCAUUGAAAUAGGCAUUUCUGAUUGUUUUUAGUCAUUCAAAUUUUGUUUAAUUAAUUUUAAGGAUUGGUUAUAGCUUAUUAAGUAGAAUUUAGUCUUAUUAAUUAGUUUUAGACAGAUUUUGGAAUUUUUUCUGUGCAUUAGGGCAGUAGUAUUAGGGGAAUUACAGGGGUAAUUUUGGAAGUUCAGAAGUUGAAAAAUGGUUUGACUGAGUAGUCUGUCCAGUAGGGCCCUAAUAGGCUUUAAUUUGAACUAAUUGAUAGGAGGGACCACUAAGGAAUGAGAGAUGUUUUUGUUGAUUGGAAAUUGGAAAUUAGCAACAGUAGAUAAUAAUAAAAGGGUAAAUGAUUCACAUAGUAGAGGAACAUAGUAGCUGGAAAGUAAAAAAAAGAAAUAAGGGGUAAUAAUAAAAGGCUAAUGGUAAAAGUAAAAAAAGGGGCUGAAAAAAGGGUUGUCUUUUGUAUAAAAUAGGGGUCAUUUGGGACUAGAAGGGAAAGAAUUGAAAAGAGGAUGAAAAAUUUCAGAUUGAGAGAAGUUUUUCUUUAGAGGUGAAAAACACAAAGAGUUUAGUAAUCUUUAAUCACUCUGUGAGAGUUUGAGUUGAAACGGGACAGCUUUGAAAUAAGUUUUUGAGAGUUUGAAAGCCAAGAAUCACUGCUUCAUUACCUCCUCUGUUAAGUUCGUUGUCAACUUCUACUGAUUUUAGUUCAUAUACCUGUUUUAAACCAAAGUAUAGCUUGAACUAGGAAUUUUGUUCAUGUGUUUAAAGAACCCCAGUACUCUUUAAAGAACUUCAGAUUGAGUUCAAGGUCGUCUGUUGUCUGCUACUGUUUUCUUCUGUUGAAAUCACCUGGGUUCGAGCCAUUCUGGGAUUUAUUGUUUUGUUGCUUCACUGUUGCUGCUGUGCUGUGUGUGCUACUGGUGCUGUCAUCACUGACUUUCCUUCUCCUUCUUUGUUAUCAGGUAUACAUUGCUAUUCUGGUACACUUAUAGGCUGAAAUAUAUUGAAGCAUGACUAAGAUGAAGAUUUGAGGCCUUGAAUCCUUAGUUGUAUUUUGUAUGUUUACCCAUAUAUAUAUUAGUUAGUUGCUUCUAUUAGAAUCAUGUAAAUUACUUUGUUAUGUACAACCGGGCCUAGGGCAUUAGUCUAACGAAUGGACUGUUUUCUAUGUUAGUUCGACAGUGUUCAUGGUGUAGUGACAACUGACAACAUCCUAGUAUUUAGUUUACUCUUUACAAAGUAUGUUUAAAUACGUAUAAGUUUUUAGGAUCAUUGCUCAAUAGUUUGAACUAUUUCAGUUUAACAAGUUUGUAUAUCUAUAUUCACAAAAAGGGGCUUCAUUAGACACUACUUUCAUUAUUGCUUCUUAAAUCUCAAAACAAGUGUAAAAUAAGUAUCAGGCCCAAUGCUAGCAUAGAAAUGGCCCAGGCCUAGCAUCACGUCAUAUACAGGGGGGCCUGGGCCCAAGAUGUUAAACUGUUCUGCCCUUCUACCAUGUGGAUUUUUAGAAUUAAUGUAAACUCGUUUGGAUACUUAGUUAUGAUAAACU
Molecule: long non-coding RNA, 2586 nt
Filed under: Nicotiana benthamiana
Lineage: Eukaryota; Viridiplantae; Streptophyta; Magnoliopsida; Solanales; Solanaceae
Description: long non-coding RNA (NBEN_LNC016016)
Source: RNAcentral